Lemur catta (Ring-tailed lemur) is the source of this 2835-nucleotide RNA transcript. It is a transcript of the gene named ABO, alpha 1-3-N-acetylgalactosaminyltransferase and alpha 1-3-galactosyltransferase, with no coding region annotated. NCBI's taxonomy places the organism in Eukaryota, Metazoa, Chordata, Mammalia, Primates, Lemuridae. The record is from RefSeq and is a predicted model, not a curated record. The transcript has 9 exons.
CACCCCGCCCCAGGGAGGCCGGGGCGGAAGCUGGCCAAGCGGCAGGCGCCCUGGGCCCGCGGGGGAGACGCGGAGCCAUGGCCAAGCUUCUGUGGACGCUAGCCGGAAAACCAAACGGCCACCUGCCCCGUCCCUUGAUCUUCCUCCUGAUAACACUGGUCCUGGUCCUCCUUGGCUACGGGGUCCUGAGCCCCAGAAGCCGGAUGCUGGGGAGCCUGGGAGCCAGCGCGGCUGUUAGAGAACCAGACAGCCUGGAAGGGUCAACGCUGUCAAGGAUGAUCUAUCCCCAGCCGAAGGUGCUGACGCCCUCUCGGACAGACGUCCUGGUCUUGACCCCCUGGCUGGCUCCCAUCGUCUGGGAGGGGACUUUCAACAGUGACAUCCUCAACAUGCAGUUCCGGCUCCAGAACACCACCGUUGGAUUAACUGUGUUUGCCAUCAAAAAGUACGUGGUCUUCCUGAAGCUGUUCCUGGAGACGGCGGAGAAGCACUUCAUGGUGGGACACCGGGUCAUCUACUAUGUGUUCACCGACCGGCCAGACAAGGUACCGCACGUGGCGCUGGGGCCGGGCCGGCGGCUGCAGGUGCUGCGCGUGCAGGCCUACGCGCGCUGGCAGGACGUGUCCAUGCGGCGCAUGCAGAUGCUCAGCGAGGCUGCGGAGCAGCGCUUUCUGCACGAGGUGGACUACCUGGUGUGCGCCGACGUGGACAUGCAGUUCCACGACCACGUGGGUGUGGAGAUCCUGUCUUCGCUCUUCGGCACCCUCCACCCUGGCUUCUACCAGCGUCCCCGCGAGGCCUUCACCUACGAGCGCCGGCCCCAGUCCCAGGCCCACAUCCCCCAGGACGAGGGCGACUUUUACUACAUGGGCGCCUUCUUCGGGGGUUCGGUGCCCGAGGUGCAGCGGCUCACCAAGGCCUGCCACCAGGCCAUGAUGGCCGACCGGGCCCAAGGCAUCGAGGCCGUGUGGCACGACGAGAGCCACUUGAACAAGUACCUGCUGUAUCACAAGCCCACCAAGGUGCUGUCCCCGGAGUACAUGUGGGACCAGCAGCUGCUGGGCUGGCCCUCGGUCCUGAGGAAGCUGAGGUUUGUGGCUGUGCCCAAGAACCACCAGGAGAUCCGGAGGUCUGAUCCCGAGAGCCCACCCGCUGGCGCCCCGGAGAGCUCAGGGCUGGCUGACCGGGCAGCCGGGUCUCCCUCCAGGGCCACCCGAAGCUAAAACCAGUUUCAGCAGAAAGGGUGCGACUCUGCUUCCUUUUUCUUUCCUGCUGGGAGAAGUCGCUGAAGCCUAACGCCCACCCCACCCUCAAAUUCAGGCCACUGUAGCACCACACCCCGGAGACCACAGACCCAGGCAGACAGACAGGCCCAGGCAGACAGACAGAGACACACAGACACACACACACACACACACACACACACACGCAUGCACGCACACACUUAAGCCACCCCAAUUCAGGGCCUUGGGCAUCAGUUCCUGGCAGGGCCACCGCCUGCAGCUCCCGCAUGUGCUCCCGAGGCAACUCCAGCUCCGACAGGGCAAGUGGUCUCAGCCCCUCCUAACAGGGGAUCAGAUGUAAGUCUCUUCCAGAGCAAUGAAGGAGCCUCCAGGACACAUGGUCUCAGGGGGGCCUGUGUGCCAAGAUGCCAGCACAUGUCCUGAGCUUUAGGCAAAAUACCUUCAUCUUCUUGAAGGCUCCUGCCCACAGCCUGCCUGGCACCUGCUCCCCCCAGGGUUCCCCAGCCCCCACUCAGCUCAGGAAAGGCUCCAGCCUGAUCCCCUGUUGCUCAAGCCAGACACUCUCCCUCCUGCCCGGUGCCCUCUCUCCUCUGCAGGGCAGGCUCCGGCCUCCAGGCCUUUCUGGGACCUUCCAGUCCCUCCCUCCCUUGCUUUCUGUGCUCAAAUGGCAGUGGCAGAGAGCCUGUCCCGGCUGGCCACUCCAAAACAGCACCUCCCCCCGACUCUGCUGCCUUAGUGUGCUUGUUUCUCAGCACCGCAUACUGAAAACAUUUUAUUCUGACAUUAUGACAGAUUCACAGGAAGCUGAACAAGUUGUAUAGAAAGAGGGUUCCAUGUCCCUUUACCCGGUUUCCCCCGUUGGCCGCCUCCUCUUUAACCACACAGAGGCCAGGAGACCGACGCGGGUACAAUGCGCAGAGCUCUGUGCCACUGCACCUGCGCGGAUCCCCGUAACCACCGCGGCAACCAGGGUCCGGCUGUCCCCGCACAGAAGGCUCCCGCGCCACUCCAGGUGUCGUCAGGCCACCCUCCCGCCCCGCCAUCUGUUCAUCUCUGGCUUUGUCCUUUUGAGAGUGUCAUAUAAAUGGGGUCAUGUGGUAUGUGAACUCCUGCGAUUGUGCAUAUCGAUACUUCCCUCCUUCACGUCACUGACCAGUGUUCCAUGGUCUGCGUGUGCCGGUUUGUGUGACCGUUCACCUGUUAAAGGACACUGUCUGCUGGUACAACUUCUACCCAGUAUUGUAGCAGCAGUUUUAGCCCGGAGAGUUAUGCAAAUAAAAUAAGUAACACACAUCCAGAUCAGAAAAGAAGAAGUAAAACCAUCUUUAUUUGCAGAUGACAUGAUGUUAUAUAUGGAAAGCUCCAACAAAUCCAGGAAAAAAACCAUUUUCCAGAAUGAGCUUGUUUACGUCAACAUAAAAUCAUGCUGGGAUUCUGAUAGGAAUCGAGUUAAACCUAUGGAUCACUCUGGGGAGAACUGACAUCUGUGCAGCUUCCAACUUCCCCUGUGGAAAAGGCCACAGGUCUGCUUGUGGUUUGUGUUUUUCCCUGGCGGGUCCUCAGUUUGGCUUAAUAAACCUCCCUUGAUUGA